This 63-nucleotide transfer RNA is filed under the name Rhomboptera ligata. RNAcentral describes it as "tRNA-His". Lineage: Eukaryota; Metazoa; Arthropoda; Insecta; Orthoptera; Tettigoniidae. The record is from RNAcentral.
AUUUGAGUAGUUUAAUAAAAAUAUUGAUUUGUGGUGUCAAAGAUGCGGUGUCAGCCUUGAAUU